GUAGGUGGCAAGCGUUGUCCGGAAUUAUUGGGCGUAAAGCGCGCGCAGGCGGUUCUUUAAGUCUGAUGUGAAAGCCCACGGCUCAACCGUGGAGGGUCAUUGGAAACUGGAGAACUUGAGUACAGAAGAGGAAAGCGGAAUUCCACGUGUAGCGGUGCAAUGCGUAGAGAUGUGGAGGAACACCAGUGGCGAAGGCGGCUUUCUGGUCUGUAACUGACGCUGAGGCGCGAAAGCGUGGGGGAGCAAACAGGAUUAGAUACCCUGGUAGUCCACGCCGUAAACGAUGAGUGCUAAGUGUUAGGGGGUUUCCGCCCCUUAGUGCUGCAGCUAACGCAUUAAGCACUCCGCCUGGGAGUACGGCCGCAAGGCUG
RNAcentral lists this ribosomal RNA (371 nucleotides) under uncultured organism. RNAcentral describes it as "partial 16S ribosomal RNA". It matches the Rfam family "Bacterial small subunit ribosomal RNA", at positions 527 to 896 of the family's 1533-position model. The record is from RNAcentral.